Molecule: long non-coding RNA, 421 nt
Organism: Carassius gibelio (silver crucian carp)
Lineage: Eukaryota; Metazoa; Chordata; Actinopteri; Cypriniformes; Cyprinidae
Exons: 3
Source: RefSeq, a predicted model, not a curated record
CCAGAAGAUGCCAUAACUAGCCUAAAACCAGUCAAGGGAAUUAGACUGACCGCAUGGCACAACACCAAAAGUUAAGCUGCGUUACGUGAGCAAAACAAACACACGGACGGAAAUAGAUUACAAAAUAAAUUCAUGUCUUUCAACAGCAACCAAGCCUGAAACUGAUCUGCGGUCCGUGCCAGCCGUUAUCAAUGCCGUCCACUGAGCUGGGGCAUUGUGGGACUGAUUGUUGCGGCUGGAGAAAGAGGCCCAAGAGACUUGAGCCAAGCCCCAAAUCAAAUAUGUGCUUUGGAUUUGUUCUGUUCCCAUCAGUGUUAAUUAAUUCUAAGGACGUUGGCAUGGAUCAGAGAUACUGGUAUUAGUAUACGUGGUGUAAGGGAAUUGUGAAAUCAUGACUUUAUGAAUGCAAGAAAGGACAGCA